RNAcentral lists this ribosomal RNA (694 nucleotides) under uncultured bacterium. Its description in RNAcentral is "bacterial SSU rRNA". It matches the Rfam family "Bacterial small subunit ribosomal RNA", at positions 8 to 746 of the family's 1533-position model. The record is from RNAcentral.
AGAGUUUGAUCCUGGCUCAGAACGAACGCUGGNGGCAGGCCUAACACAUGCAAGUCGAACGCCCCGGCAAGGGGAGUGGCAGACGGGUGAGUAACACGUGGGAACCUUCCCUAUAGUACGGAAUAGCCCAGGGNAAACUUGGAGUAAUACCGUAUACGCCCGAAAGGGGAAAGAUUUAUCGCUAUAGGAUGGGCCCGCGGUAGGAUUAGCUAGUUGGUGAGGUAACGGCUCACCAAGGCGACGAUCCUUAGCUGGUUUGAGAGAACGACCAGCCACACUGGGACUGAGACACGGCCCAGACUCCUACGGGAGGCAGCAGUGGGGAAUAUUGGACAAUGGGCGCAAGCCUGAUCCAGCCAUGCCGCGUGAGUGAUGAAGGCCUUAGGGUUGUAAAGCUCUUUUGGCGGGGACGAUAAUGACGGUACCCGCAGAAUAAGUCCCGGGCUAACUUCGUGCCAGCAGCCGCGGUAAUACGAAGGGGACUAGCGUUGUUCGGAAUCACUGGGCGUAAAGCGCACGUAGGCGGAUAUGUCAGUCAGGGGUGAAAUCCCGGGGCUCAACCUCNGAACUGCCUUUGAUACAGCAUAUCUUGAGUCCGAUAGAGGUGGGUGGAAUUCCUAGUGUAGAGGUGAAAUUCGUAGAUAUUAGGAAGAACACCGGUGGCGAAGGCNGCCCACUGGAUCGGUACUGACGC